CCUACGGGUGGCAGCAGUGGGGAAUAUUGGGCAAUGGAGGCAACUCUGACCCAGCAACGCCGCGUGAAUGAUGAAGGUCUUCGGAUUGUAAAGUUCUGUGAUGGGGGAUGAACACAAUGACGGUACCCCAAUAGCAAGCCACGCCUAACGACGUGCCAGCAGCCGCGGUAAUACGUAGGUGGCAAGCGUUAUCCGGAAUGACUGGGCGAAAAGGGGGCGUAGGGGGUUUAGUAAGUUGGCGGUGUAACGCCGGGGCUCAACCUCGGCGCUACCGCCAAAACUAUUAGACUAGAGGGCAGGAGGGGUAAGUGGAAUUCCUGGUGUAGCGGUGGAAUGCGUAGAUAUUAGGAGGAACAGCAGGGGCGAAGGCGACUUACUGGACUGUAACUGACGCUGAGGCACGAAAGCGUGGGGAGCAAACAGGAUUAGAUACCCUUGUAGUC
Molecule: ribosomal RNA, 443 nt
Filed under: uncultured bacterium
Lineage: Bacteria
Description: partial 16S ribosomal RNA
Rfam family: Bacterial small subunit ribosomal RNA
Source: RNAcentral